This 1095-nucleotide ribosomal RNA is filed under the name Triticum aestivum (bread wheat). RNAcentral's name for it is "partial small subunit ribosomal RNA". The record is from RNAcentral. Lineage: Eukaryota; Viridiplantae; Streptophyta; Magnoliopsida; Poales; Poaceae.
AUGACGCUUAAGCUCUUGGCUGAAGUGAGCCCGCAGGAGUUGCUCGAAGCUCUUGCUGAGCUCCAAAACCACAUGCUCGGUUACGUCAAAUCCAUGUCGCUCAGGUGUGUGGUCGAUCUAGGCAUCCCCGAGGCCAUACAUCGCCGGGGCGGCACCGCCACCCUCGCCGACAUCGCGGCAGACGCAAAGGUACAUCCCGGUAAGGUUGCCGACCUGCAGCGCGUGAUGGAACUGCUUACCACCUCUGGCAUUUUCACUGCCACUGCCGGCGCCGGGGAUGGUGACACCGUGGUGUAUGGGCUAACCACGGCCUGCCGCUUCCUUGUCGGCUGGUGCAACCUGUCCCCUAUGGUUCCCUUUUGCGUCAACCCUCUCGUCGUCUCCUCCUUCAGCAUGCCCGAAUGGUUCAGGACCGAGCCUGAGGACGCCGGCGCCGGCUCCCUCUUCGAGCUCGCACAUGGCUGCUCCCAGUGGGAGAUGGUCAGCAAGGACGCCGGGUUCAACGACGUCCUCAACGACUCCAUGGCCGCCGAUAGCCAGGUCUUCCUCGAGGUCAUUAUUGUCGACAAGGGCCGCAUCUUCCGCGGUCUCAGAUCGCUCGUCGACGUAGGUGGCGGCAAUGGCGCGGGCACUCAAGUGAUUGCGAAGGCUUUCCCGCGCAUCAAGUGCACCGUCAUGGACCUUCCUCACGUUGUCGUUGCCGGGCAGGCCGCCGCCCGUGAUGACAACCUGAGUUUCGUCGCCGGUGACAUGUUUGAAUCCAUUCCAUCCGCCGAUGCUGUCUUACUCAAGAACAUUUUGCAUGACUGGGGUCACGACGACUGUGUCAAAAUACUUCAACGUUGCAAGGAAGCCAUCCCUGGCAGAAAUGCUGGAGGAAAGGUGAUAAUUAUAGAUAUGGUAAGAGGAUCUGCAAAUGGCGACAAAAAAAUCAACGAGAUGGAAGCCAUACAAAACUUGUUCAUGAUGUAUAUCACCGGGGUGGAACGAGAUGAAAUUGGGUGGAAGAGGAUAUUUUCUGAUGCUGGCUUCAGUGAUGAUUACAAAAUUCUGCCAGUAUUGGGUCCCUACUCAGUAAUUGAGAUCUACCCAUGA